UACGUAGGGUGCAAGCGUUAAUCGGAAUUACUGGGCGUAAAGCGUGCGUAGGUGGUUCGUUAAGUCUGAUGUGAAAGCCCUGGGCUCAACCUGGGAAUGGCAUUGGAAACUGGCGACCUAGAGUGCGGUAGAGGGUAGUGGAAUUCCCGGUGUAGCAGUGAAAUGCGUAGAGAUCGGGAGGAACAUCCGUGGCGAAGGCGACUACCUGGACCAGCACUGACACUGAGGCACGAAAGCGUGGGGAGCAAACAGG
Molecule: ribosomal RNA, 253 nt
Filed under: uncultured bacterium
Lineage: Bacteria
Description: partial 16S ribosomal RNA
Rfam family: Bacterial small subunit ribosomal RNA
Source: RNAcentral